This 253-nucleotide ribosomal RNA is filed under the name uncultured bacterium. RNAcentral's name for it is "partial 16S ribosomal RNA". It matches the Rfam family "Bacterial small subunit ribosomal RNA", at positions 524 to 776 of the family's 1533-position model. The record is from RNAcentral.
UACAGAGGGUGCGAGCGUUGUUCGGAAUUAUUGGGCGUAAAGCGCGUGUAGGCGGAUCGGUAAGUCGGACGUGAAAUCCCUCAGCUCAACUGAGGAAGUGCGCCCGAAACUGCCAAUCUAGAGUGUCGGAGAGGAUGGCGGAAUUCCCGGUGUAGAGGUGAAAUUCGUAGAUAUCGGGAGGAACACCAGCGGCGAAGGCGGCCAUCUGGACGAUAACUGACGCUGAUACGCGAAAGCGUGGGGAGCAAACAGG